Rhineura floridana is the source of this 142-nucleotide small nuclear RNA. RefSeq annotates it as U4 spliceosomal RNA. NCBI's taxonomy places the organism in Eukaryota, Metazoa, Chordata, Lepidosauria, Squamata, Rhineuridae. The record is from RefSeq and is a predicted model, not a curated record. The transcript has a single exon.
UGCUUUGCGUGCUGGCGGUAUCGUAACCAAUGAGGUUAAUCUGAGGCAUGAUUAUUGGUAAUUGAAAACUUUCCCCAAGACCAACAGAUGAGGAACACAACACCAUAAGUAGCAAUUUUCUGAGGGCAUGUAUUGGAUAUGC